GAUCCUGGCUCAGGAUGAACGCUAGCUACAGGCUUAACACAUGCAAGUCGAGGGGCAGCAUGGUCUUAGCUUGCUAAGGCCGAUGGCGACCGGCGCACGGGUGAGUAACACGUAUCCAACCUGCCGUCUACUCUUGGACAGCCUUCUGAAAGGAAGAUUAAUACAAGAUGGCAUCAUGAGUCCGCAUGUUCACAUGAUUAAAGGUAUUCCGGUANCGAUGGGG
This 223-nucleotide ribosomal RNA is filed under the name uncultured bacterium. RNAcentral's name for it is "partial 16S ribosomal RNA". It matches the Rfam family "Bacterial small subunit ribosomal RNA", at positions 15 to 230 of the family's 1533-position model. The record is from RNAcentral.